AGCGCGGUCACCUGUGAUACAAGUCAGGAUUAGACGUCCAUCCAUGUCUGAGGACGUCGGGAGAUGAUGUGGAAAACGGCAACUAGGGGCAACAGUGAGCGCUGUUACCUUCAAGAAGGUUUCCUUUUUGCUAGGGUGUUGUGGACUGGGGUGUUGUGGACUAGGGUGUUGUGGACUAGGGUGUUGUGGACUGGGGUGUUGUGGACUAGGGUGUUGUGGACUGGGGGGUUGUGGACUAGGGUGUUGUGGACUAGGGUGUUGUGGACUAGGGUGUUGUGGACUAGGGUGUUGUGGACUAGGGGGUUGUGGACUAGGGUGUUGUGGACUAGGGUGUUGUGGACUAGGGUGUUGUGGACUAGGGUGUUGUGGACUAGGGGGUAGUGGACUAGGGUGUUGUGGACUAG
Oncorhynchus tshawytscha (Chinook salmon) is the source of this 404-nucleotide long non-coding RNA. Lineage: Eukaryota; Metazoa; Chordata; Actinopteri; Salmoniformes; Salmonidae. The record is from Ensembl.